This 503-nucleotide ribosomal RNA is filed under the name uncultured bacterium. RNAcentral describes it as "partial 16S ribosomal RNA". It matches the Rfam family "Bacterial small subunit ribosomal RNA", at positions 32 to 523 of the family's 1533-position model. The record is from RNAcentral.
AUUCAACGCUGGCGGCAGGCUUAACACAUGCAAGUCUCGCGGAGUGAUGGUGCUUGCACUAUCACUUAGCGGCGGACGGGUGAGUAAUGCUUAGGAAUCUGCAUAUUAGUGGGGGACAACAUCUCGCAAGGGAUGCUAAUACCCCAUACGUCCUACGGGAGAAAGCAGGGGAUCUCUUGUGUCCUUGCGCUAAUAGAUGAGCCUAUGUGGGAUUAGCUAGUUGGUGGGGUCAAGGCCUACCAAGGCGACGAUCUGUAGCGGGUCGGAAAGGAUGAUCCGCCACACUGGGCCUGAGACACGGCCCAGAAUCCGACGGGAGGCAGCAGUGGGGAAUAUUGGACAAUGGGGGGAACCCUGAUCCAGCCAUGCCGCGUGUGUGAAGAAGGCCUUAUGGUUGUAAAGCACUUUAAGCGAGGAGGAGGCUCUUUUGGUUAAUACCCAAGAUGAGUGGACGUUACUCGCAGAAUAAGCACCGGCUAACUCUGUGCCAGCCGCCGCCGUAA